Molecule: ribosomal RNA, 662 nt
Filed under: Salmonella enterica subsp. enterica serovar Heidelberg
Lineage: Bacteria; Pseudomonadati; Pseudomonadota; Gammaproteobacteria; Enterobacterales; Enterobacteriaceae
Also listed under: 2 other names
Description: partial 23S ribosomal RNA
Rfam family: Bacterial large subunit ribosomal RNA
Source: RNAcentral
AGACCCGAAACCCGGUGAUCUAGCCAUGGGCAGGUUGAAGGUUGGGUAACACUAACUGGAGGACCGAACCGACUAAUGUUGAAAAAUUAGCGGAUGACCUGUGGCUGGGGGUGAAAGGCCAAUCAAACCGGGAGAUAGCUGGUUCUCCCCGAAAGCUAUUUAGGUAGCGCCUCGUGAAUUCAUCUCCGGGGGUAGAGCACUGUUUCGGCUAGGGGGCCAUCCCGGCUUACCAACCCGAUGCAAACUGCGAAUACCGGAGAAUGUUAUCACGGGAGACACACGGCGGGUGCUAACGUCCGUCGUGAAGAGGGAAACAACCCAGACCGCCAGCUAAGGUCCCAAAGUCAUGGUUAAGUGGGAAACGAUGUGGGAAGGCCCAGACAGCCAGGAUGUUGGCUUAGAAGCAGCCAUCAUUUAAAGAAAGCGUAAUAGCUCACUGGUCGAGUCGGCCUGCGCGGAAGAUGUAACGGGGCUAAACCAUGCACCGAAGCUGCGGCAGCGAACGUAUCACCCAAGACAACUUUACGGAGUUGACGAUUGACGGAGCGAAGCGACGUCAAAGCGUUCAUUAAAGUCGAGUUGGCUUAGGGAUACGUUCGUUGGGUAGGGGAGCGUUCUGUAAGCCUGUGAAGGUGUGUCGUGAGGCAUGCUGGAGGUAUCAG